RNAcentral lists this ribosomal RNA (117 nucleotides) under Labrus bergylta (ballan wrasse). The record is from RNAcentral. Lineage: Eukaryota; Metazoa; Chordata; Actinopteri; Labriformes; Labridae.
GCUUACGCCAUACCACCUGAACACGCCCGAUCUCGUCCGAUCUCGGAAGCUAAGCAGGGUCGGGCCUGGUUAGUACUUGGAUGGGAGACCGCCUGGGAAUACCAGGUGCUGUAAGCU